RNAcentral lists this ribosomal RNA (468 nucleotides) under uncultured bacterium. RNAcentral's name for it is "partial 16S ribosomal RNA". It matches the Rfam family "Bacterial small subunit ribosomal RNA", at positions 28 to 507 of the family's 1533-position model. The record is from RNAcentral.
GACGAACGCUGGCGGCGUGCUUAACACAUGCAAGUCGAACGGAAAGGCCCUGCUUUUGUGGGGUGCUCGAGUGGCGAACGGGUGAGUAACACGUGAGUAACCUGCCCUUGACUUUGGGAUAACUUCAGGAAACUGGGGCUAAUACCGGAUAGGAGCUCCUGCUGCAUGGUGGGGGUUGGAAAGUUUCGGCGGUUGGGGAUGGACUCGCGGCUUAUCAGCUUGUUGGUGGGGUAGUGGCUUACCAAGGCUUUGACGGGUAGCCGGCCUGAGAGGGUGACCGGCCACAUUGGGACUGAGAUACGGCCCAGACUCCUACGGGAGGCAGCAGUGGGGGAUAUUGCACAAUGGGCAGAAGCCUGAUGCAGCAACGCCGCGUGCGGGAUGAUGGCCUUCGGGUUGUAAACCGCUUUCGCCUGUGACGAAGCGUGAGUGACGGUAAUGGGUAAAGAAGCACCGGCUAACUACGUG